GGAGAGGUGGCUGAGCGGCUGAAAGCAACGGUUUGCUAAACCGUCAUACUGGACCAAAUCCGGUAUCGAGGGUUCGAAUCCCUCCCUCUCCGCCA
Molecule: transfer RNA, 95 nt
Filed under: Verrucomicrobiota bacterium
Lineage: Bacteria; Pseudomonadati; Verrucomicrobiota
Description: Verrucomicrobia bacterium (groundwater metagenome) tRNA-Ser
Rfam family: tRNA
About the family: Transfer RNA (tRNA) molecules are approximately 80 nucleotides in length.
Source: RNAcentral